Molecule: ribosomal RNA, 400 nt
Filed under: uncultured bacterium
Lineage: Bacteria
Description: partial 16S ribosomal RNA
Rfam family: Bacterial small subunit ribosomal RNA
Source: RNAcentral
CCUACGGGUGGCAGCAGUGAGGAAUAUUGGUCAAUGGACGGAAGUCUGAACCAGCCAUGCCGCGUGCAGGAUGACGGUUCUGUGAGUCGUAAACUUCUUUUGUAUGAGGAUAAACACGCCUACGUGUCGGCGCAUGAGAGUAUAAUACGAAAAAGGAUCGGCUAACUCCGUGCCAGCAGCCGCGGUAAUACGGAGGAUCCAAGCGUUAUCCGGAUUUAUUGGGUUUAAAGGGUGCGUAGGCGGUUUGAUAAGUUAGGGGUGAAAUACCGGUGCUCAACCCCGGACCUGCCUUUAAUACUGUUGAACUAGAGAGUAGGUGCGGUAGGCGGAAUGUAUGGUGUAGCGGUGAAAUGCUUAGAGAUCGUACAGAACACCGAUUGCGAAGGCAGCUUACCGAACU